RNAcentral lists this ribosomal RNA (253 nucleotides) under uncultured bacterium. RNAcentral's name for it is "partial 16S ribosomal RNA". It matches the Rfam family "Bacterial small subunit ribosomal RNA", at positions 524 to 776 of the family's 1533-position model. RNAcentral also lists the same sequence under 1 other name. The record is from RNAcentral.
UACAGAGGUCCCAAGCGUUGUUCGGAUUCACUGGGCGUAAAGGGUGCGUAGGCGGGCAGGUAAGUCAGUGGUGAAAUCUCCGGGCUUAACCCGGAAACUGCCGUUGAUACUAUCUGUCUUGAAUAUCGUGGAGGUAAGCGGAAUAUGUCAUGUAGCGGUGAAAUGCUUAGAUAUGACAUAGAACACCCAUUGCGAAGGCAGCUUACUACACGAUCAUUGACGCUGAGGCACGAAAGCGUGGGGAGCAAACAGG